RNAcentral lists this ribosomal RNA (348 nucleotides) under uncultured bacterium. Its description in RNAcentral is "bacterial SSU rRNA". It matches the Rfam family "Bacterial small subunit ribosomal RNA", at positions 32 to 370 of the family's 1533-position model. The record is from RNAcentral.
AAUCAACGCUGGCGGCGUGCCUCAGACAUGCAAGUCGAACGAUUAAAGCUCUCUUCGGAGAGUGUAUAGAGUGGCGCACGGGUGAGUAACACGUAAGUAAUCUACCUUUGAGUGGGGAAUAACAGUCGGAAACGACUGCUAAUACCGCAUAAUGCAGCGGCACCGCGAGGUGACAGUUGUUAAAGGAGCAAUUCGCUUAAAGAGGAGCUUGCGGCAGAUUAGCUUGUUGGUAAGGUAACGGCUUACCAAGGCUACGAUCUGUAUCCGGUCUUAGAGGACGGUCGGACACACUGACACUGAAUAACGGGUCAGACUCCUACGGGAGGCAGCAGUCGGGUAAGUUUUGGG